AACGAACGCUGGCGGCAUGCUUAACACAUGCAAGUCGAACGAGACGGUCCGGUCUAGGGGCGCAGGGGUGCGUACGGCGGGGUAACCUGUCCUUAGGUUCGGCAUAACUCCCCGAAAAGGGUGCGAAUACCGGAUUAUUUCUUGGGACCAAAGAUUUCUCGACUUUGGAUGGGCCCGCGUUGGAUUAGCUAGUUGGUAGGGUAAAAGCCUACCACGGCGACGAGCCAUAGCUGGUCGGCGAGGAUGAUCAGUCACACUGGGACUGGGACACGACCCAGACUCCUACGGGAGGCGGCGGUGGGUACUAUUGGACCAUGGGCGAAAUCCUGAUCCGCCACGGCCGCGUGAGUGGUGAAGGCCUUGGAGUUCUAAAGCUCUUUUACCGGGGAUGAUAAUGACGGUACCGGGAGAAUAAGCACCGGCUAACUCCGUG
Molecule: ribosomal RNA, 433 nt
Filed under: uncultured bacterium
Lineage: Bacteria
Description: partial 16S ribosomal RNA
Rfam family: Bacterial small subunit ribosomal RNA
Source: RNAcentral